Juglans microcarpa x Juglans regia is the source of this 1141-nucleotide RNA transcript. It is a transcript of the gene named nudix hydrolase 16, mitochondrial-like, with no coding region annotated. NCBI's taxonomy places the organism in Eukaryota, Viridiplantae, Streptophyta, Magnoliopsida, Fagales, Juglandaceae. The record is from RefSeq and is a predicted model, not a curated record. The transcript is spliced from 6 exons.
UGUCGGUUGACAAGCUCGCUACAAAUACAGUUCCAUUUCUUUAGGAGUUCAAUUCCCAGGGAAAGGGGGGAAUUCAUUUCAUAAGGAAGGAAAGAAGAGAAAUAAAAGAGGCACUGGUAUUGAAAUUUGAAUGUGCAGUAGCAGUACUGGAGUGGUGUUUACUGAUUGACUAGCCAUGCGUAUUCCGGUUUUGGAAUCGCAAUGGGAAAUGGAAAUGGAGGGUUGUCGUUAUAGUAACUAAGAGGCAAAGGAAAGCGGACCCACCGGCGCCAAUAUUCCGCAAAAUGUCAGAAUUGGUGGCUCGCACCGGUCGCCAUCAGCAGCGCUACAACGAAGGUUGCCGCCUCGUCGCCGGGUGUGUUCCUUUCAAGGAUACCAAUGGUAUUGGAAGUAGUGAUGGAAGGUCUGAGAAGGAUGUGGAGGUACUAAUGAUCAACUCAACUAGUGGACCUGGUCUUCUAUUUCCGAAGGGUGGCUGGGAGAACGAUGAGACAGUUGAGGAGGCGGCAAAACGUGAAGCUUUAGAAGAGGCUGGAGUUCGAGGGGAUUUAAUGCAUUUUCUCGGCUACUACAUCUUCAAGAGCAAAACCCUACAAGAUGAAUUUAGUCCAGAAGGUAUGUGCAAAGCUGCCAUGUACGCUUUGCUUGUGACAGAGGAGCUGCAGUCUUGGCCAGAACAGAGCACUCGCCAGAGACAUUGGCUAACAAUCCCUGAAGCAAAGAAGCGCUGCCAGUAUCAGUGGAUGCGAGAAACCCUUGAGGAAGGUUUCUCAAAGUGGCAUGCAGAUCGAAUAUCAAGCAAUUUGAAAAAAGAGAACCAUGUAGUUUCACCUGAAUCUGAAUCAGAAUUGAUGAAGAAGGCACCUGUCUGAAUUGAUAUUGGUGCAUUUUUUUUUUUCCUUCAAAUUUAGGAACGCUCAUGUUACUGACUUCUUGGUGUAUAAAGGAUUUAGGCAGUCAUUUUAAAGAGACCCAAGAGUCGUUUAGGCAAUGGCAUACAGAGACAGCAUCAGUGUUUUUAAAUCUCACGCUUCCUACAUGUUUCAUGCACACUAUCUAUAGCAUUGACAUCCAAAAGCUCCGUCAAGGUGAAAUGUGCAAACUCAGCCGCGCAUGUUCAUAGGUCAUGUUUCUAUAAAGA